RNAcentral lists this ribosomal RNA (360 nucleotides) under uncultured bacterium. RNAcentral's name for it is "bacterial SSU rRNA". It matches the Rfam family "Bacterial small subunit ribosomal RNA", at positions 74 to 440 of the family's 1533-position model. The record is from RNAcentral.
UUGCUGCUUUGCUGACGAGUGGCGGACGGGUGAGUAAUGUCUGGGAAACUGCCUGAUGGAGGGGGAUAACUACUGGAAACGGUAGCUAAUACCGCAUAACGUCGCAAGACCAAAGAGGGGGACCUUAGGGCCUCUUGCCAUCGGAUGUGCCCAGAUGGGAUUAGCUAGUAGGUGGGGUAACGGCUCACCUAGGCGACGAUCCCUAGCUGGUCUGAGAGGAUGACCAGCCACACUGGAACUGAGACACGGUCCAGACUCCUACGGGAGGCAGCAGUGGGGAAUAUUGCACAAUGGGCGCAAGCCUGAUGCAGCCAUGCCGCGUGUAUGAAGAAGGCCUUCGGGUUGUAAAGUACUUUCAGC